UGGGGAUUCACUCCCAGAGAGGCCUAGUUAGUUCAUCAGUACAUCCUGUGUCUUAACCUUCUCUGGCAGGGGUUGAGUUAAAACUUUGCUAGUAUAUGUGAAUUUUUUUUAACAAAAAUCUCACAUCAGCAAAUAAUCAAUUUGAAAUCAUCUCUAAAAAAGAUUUCUCAGCUAAAGAGUGACAGGGGCACUCAUAAGGCCUGCUUUCUUCCUGGGAUUGAGAGACAACAGCUCUGAGUUAAAAAAAGGUGGUUUCCAGGAAGUCCAACCCUUGAAUAUCUCACUUACAUCCCCCACCCUCAGCUGCAGGAGCACUACACUGGGGAUAUUAUUGCCGAGAAGAGAAUCAGAGAAGAAUGAAUGGAGUGGACAGCUGGAUACACAGGUAGCAAC
RNAcentral lists this long non-coding RNA (393 nucleotides) under Fukomys damarensis (Damara mole-rat). RNAcentral's name for it is "lncRNA (ENSFDAG00000031848.1)". Lineage: Eukaryota; Metazoa; Chordata; Mammalia; Rodentia; Bathyergidae. The record is from RNAcentral.